AGCUCCCUCGGCCUGAAAGUGAGAUGAGUGCUACAAUCCUACAGUUGCCUUUGAUUGGACUUAAACGUCCAGGGAUCCUUACCUAUACCAGUCUCAUCCAGGUAAGCUGCAGAAACAAUGGUGAUGGAAGGAAAGCUCUGCAGCUCAGCUCCAUCACACCAGCUGCUACUGCUAGGACAUAUUAAUUAACUGAGCCUGCCAAUACAUGCCAAUUUGUAACUAUAAUUGCAGAGUCCAAUGCUGUUGUAAUUCAUCGCUCCUCUGAAAUUCAGAGCAUCCCUCGUGCUUUCCUGACAGCCAUUAGUUGCAAAUGUGUAAACCCAAUGACAGUUUUGCUUCCUCCAAAGCACUGAACGUGAAUGCUCAGCUCUGAGGCUCUCAAGUUUUGGCUUGUGAAAGGACAACCUCAUCUCUUUUUGCAACACAGUCACAUAGUCAUUGGGAAUAAUGCUCUACUAGAGCUGGGGAGUGAAAUAAAAUGAAAUAAGAAAAAUGAAAUACAUCUGAAAAGCAACAGAUACCAAUGACAAACAGGAGUUAAGAGCACUGUCUUGCCUUGCUUGUGGACUUUCCAAGUGGCCAUUGUAUAUUGAGCCAAAUAUAGGCCAUUGGUCUUUCAGAGCAAGACAAUGAUUUCAUGGCCUAUGUUCUCUGGAAAGGAAAAAGAAGCAUGCGAGAUGAAGUGGUCCUCUGACAGAGCUCAUCAAUAUCCAAAAAUAUUUAUGACUGGAAGAAAGUAGAAGGACAAGUGUACAAAAAAAAUCCUCACAGAAAGGCUGACUUCUCUCUGUUAGAAGGGGUUACUAGACUGCUCCAUUUUUGUUGGUGAAGAGUUUCUGGUCUCCCUUCACUGCUGUUGUUAUUCAGUGAUGAAUGAAAAAGCAUUUGUUUAGAAUCCUGCCAUCUUAUUAUUAGCUCACAUUUUCCAGAAUUUAGACCUGGUAUUGUGGAGUGGAAACCUGCUAGGGCUGGACCCAGGUUCAAAUUGUAAUAUUCUGGAAGAAAUAAGAUGAAAUUGUUAACUCAAAUAAUCUAUUUGUAGUCUCAUUAGAGCUUCUAAAGGCACUGUAUAUCAUCAUGUAAAAUGGAAAGCAAAUCUGAGGACUGUGUAUAUAUCCGUGUGUAUGAUCCCUCAGAUUAGAGCACUGGCCAAAGUAUCUUUCUAAGUUAUAGGAUUAGUAGUUUUCUUUAUUUCUUUUUAUUUUUAUGAGAAUAAAAUUGUUGAGUGUAGAAUUCUUCCUGAUAACCUGGUUUUUCUUUUCUUUUUAAAAACCAGAGACAUUUUUUUGAAAAGUCUUUGUGCCUGGGAGGGGGGGAUGCUUGAAAGUAUGCAGACAAUAUCUAUGCAAGCCUUAGGGUGAUGGCUUUAAGAUAUUCAGUUAUUGGGUCAGUGCAUAGCUCCUGCUUUUUCCAUGUGAUCAGCACAGCCCGAGUAAAAUUGGUAACAAAAAGUCAAAACUGCAGACUAAAUUAUAAUUAGGUAAAUCAUGCAAAUUAGUUCAAUGUGCAUAAUAGUUUAAAAUGUUGACUUUUCUUAUUAUGUGUUAAGGAUUACCUUUGCAUGGAAUGUUAAGGUUUUUAGUUCUGACCACAUACUAGGAUUUUGGUACCCAGUGAAACCAGGCCUGAAGUGCUCCAUAUGCAGCCCAAUUUGGUUCAGUGUCUAUCUGAGUCCGCCUCCAAUUCACUAUUUGGGAAUAAUAAUAAUUAAAAAAUGCUUAUAACUCCCCUGCCUGCUUUUGAUAGAAGUCGGUGGAAUUUGCAAGCAUAGUAGCCCUUCUAAAUUACAGGCAGAUGGGUCCUGAGGCUUUUGAGCUGGAAAUCUUUAAAGUUUGUUGUUGUUUAAAAAGAAAAUAUCUGUAAGCCCUUUUUUAUUUUGUCCCAGAAUUAGAUGAAAUUUGCAGACAAGGCUUUGCCUUCUGAAUGCAUGAAUCUUGCCAAAUAUGAAAUGGAUAAAUGCAGUGUGUUUUUGGGGUGGGGUGGGGGUCUGUAAGGGGCUUUGGAUGUACAAAAAGGGAAUUGCAAUACCCCUCUCAACAUGUGCGGGAUGGAAUUGGUUUGAAAAUUGCCGCUAGGUAAAUUAUUGAAAAGAACAAAAAGGGAUUUGCUUUCCAGGUCAAAUCACUCCCUCUGAUUACAGGCUACUGUCAGUCACAAUGGAACUCCCCUUCCCUUUCCUGACAUGCUCAUUAGGCUUAGAGAAAUAGAUUUUGCUUUUACAAAGGUGCUCCCUCCCACAAGGAACUGGGAUUAGACAGUGCUGGUCAAAUCAUUCCCUUAGAUUUCAAAAUAGACCUGUCAGUCACAAAGGAGCACCCCUGCCCAAUCCUGAUCCUGGAAAGGAAACAUAUAAGGGCAUUUGGCCUGGUCCCCCCCCCCCCAAUCCCCUUGCUCUGUAUAUGGCACUCGAUGAACAAUGCUACUACCAUUUGAGUGUCAAAUUAUUCUUGUCUAUUCUGGCCCUUAAACUUCGUUUAAAAUCCACUUUCCCCCAGGAAAGUUUACUUGGCUUAUAGUGUAGAUUGUUAUUUCCCAGAUUGGUCUUUCCCUUCACUUUCUAACACACAGUGUGUCUGCCUAAGAGGCCAACUAUGACAAAUAUUCCCUGUGCAUCAGACCAGCUAACACAAGUGCUUCAUCUGAAGCCAGCUUGUCAUCUUCUCCCAAAGCAAGCAGACAUAGAAGCAGCAGCAUCAAUCAACAAGAAAGAGGAAAGCUUCCCCCUGGAACACUAGAAGAGCUUCAGCCAACAGAGUUCAUUUUCAUCCUGAC
Podarcis lilfordi (Lilford's wall lizard) is the source of this 2772-nucleotide non-coding RNA. NCBI's taxonomy places the organism in Eukaryota, Metazoa, Chordata, Lepidosauria, Squamata, Lacertidae. The record is from the annotation of a GenBank genome assembly.